This 492-nucleotide ribosomal RNA is filed under the name uncultured bacterium. RNAcentral's name for it is "partial 16S ribosomal RNA". It matches the Rfam family "Bacterial small subunit ribosomal RNA", at positions 29 to 507 of the family's 1533-position model. The record is from RNAcentral.
AGUGAACGCUGGCGGUAGGCCUAACACAUGCAAGUCGAACGGCAGCACAGUAAGAGCUUGCUCUUACGGGUGGCGAGUGGCGGACGGGUGAGGAAUACAUCGGAAUCUACUUUUUCGUGGGGGAUAACGUAGGGAAACUUACGCUAAUACCGCAUACGAACUACGGGUGAAAGCAGGGGAUCUUCGGACCUUGCGCGAUUGAAUGAGCCGAUGUCGGAUUAGCUAGUUGGCGGGGUAAAGGCCCACCAAGGCGACGAUCCGUAGCUGGUCUGAGAGGAUGAUCAGCCACACUGGAACUGAGACACGGUCCAGACUCCUACGGGAGGCAGCAGUGGGGAAUAUUGGACAAUGGGCGCAAGCCUGAUCCAGCCAUACCGCGUGGGUGAAGAAGGCCUUCGGGUUGUAAAGCCCUUUUGUUGGGAAAGAAAAGCAGCAGGUUAAUACCCCGCUGUUCUGACGUUACCCAAAGAAUAAGCACCGGCUAACUUCGUG